This is a long non-coding RNA of Oncorhynchus keta (chum salmon), 249 nucleotides long. RefSeq lists it as uncharacterized. Lineage: Eukaryota; Metazoa; Chordata; Actinopteri; Salmoniformes; Salmonidae. The record is from RefSeq and is a predicted model, not a curated record. The transcript has 3 exons.
ACCAUCCUGGCAAGAAUGUUAUUGAGGCUCAUAUGGAGGCUGUGCAUGCAGACUGGAAGGAGUACCUGAACCUGCUCAUCUGUGAGGAGAACCACCUGAAACACAUGGACGAGUACCACAAGUUCCACAAAGAGGCCCGGGACACCCAGGACCUUCUGAAGAGGAUGGACAAAGAGGUGGACCAGAAGUACAAACCAGAGUUCAAGGACAUGUACCAGAUGGAGAGCCUCAUCAGAGACCUGGACGUGA